Molecule: ribosomal RNA, 253 nt
Filed under: uncultured bacterium
Lineage: Bacteria
Description: partial 16S ribosomal RNA
Rfam family: Bacterial small subunit ribosomal RNA
Source: RNAcentral
UACGUAGGCGGCAAGCGUUGUCCGGAAUUAUUGGGCGUAAAGAGCGUGUAGGCGGCCAGAUAAGUCCGCUGUGAAAUCUCGAGGCUCAACCUCGAGACGUCGGCGGAAACCAUCUGGCUAGAGUCCGGAAGAGGAGAGUGGAAUUCCUGGUGUAGCGGUGAAAUGCGCAGAUAUCAGGAAGAACACCCGUGGCGAAGGCGGCUCUCUGGGACGGUACUGACGCUGAGACGCGAAAGCGUGGGGAGCGAACAGG